RNAcentral lists this ribosomal RNA (400 nucleotides) under uncultured bacterium. RNAcentral's name for it is "bacterial SSU rRNA". It matches the Rfam family "Bacterial small subunit ribosomal RNA", at positions 356 to 773 of the family's 1533-position model. The record is from RNAcentral.
GGGGAAUAUUGCACAAUGGGGGAAACCCUGAUGCAGCAACGCCGCGUGAGCGAUGAAGGCCUUCGGGUUGUAAAGCUCUGUCUUCGCUGACGAUAAUGACGGUAAGCGAGGAGGAAGCCACGGCUAACUACGUGCCAGCAGCCGCGGUAAUACGUAGGUGGCAAGCGUUGUCCGGAAUUACUGGGCGUAAAGGAUGCGUAGGCGGCCUCUUAAGUGGGAUGUGAAAUGCCGGGGCUUAACCCCGGAGGUGCAUUCCAUACUGGGAGGCUAGAGUGCAGGAGAGGAAAGCGGAAUUCCCAGUGUAGCGGUGAAAUGCGUAGAGAUUGGGAGGAACACCAGUGGCGAAGGCGGCUUUCUGGACUGUAACUGACGCUGAGGCAUGAAAGUGUGGGGAGCAAAC